This 482-nucleotide ribosomal RNA is filed under the name uncultured bacterium. RNAcentral describes it as "bacterial SSU rRNA". It matches the Rfam family "Bacterial small subunit ribosomal RNA", at positions 501 to 981 of the family's 1533-position model. The record is from RNAcentral.
CUACGUGCCAGCAGCCGCGGUAAUACGGAAGGUCCGGGCGUUAUCCGGAUUUAUUGGGUUUAAAGGGAGCAUAGGCUGGAGAUUAAGUGUGUUGUGAAAUGUAGACGCUCAACGUCUGACUUGCAGCGCAUACUGGUUUCCUUGAGUACGCACAACGUUGGCGGAAUUCGUCGUGUAGCGGUGAAAUGCUUAGAUAUGACGAAGAACUCCGAUUGCGAAGGCAGCUGACGGGAGCGCAACUGACGCUGAAGCUCGAAGGUGCGGGUAUCGAACAGGAUUAGAUACCCUGGUAGUCCGCACAGUAAACGAUGGGUACUAGGUGUAGGAGGUAUCGACCCCUUCUGUGCCGGAGUUAAAGCAUUAAGCAUCCCACCUGGGGAGUACGCCGGCAACGGUGAAACUCAAAGGAAUUGACGGGGGCCCGCACAAGCGGAGGAACAUGUGGUUUAAUUCGAUGAUACGCGAGGAACCUUACCCGGGCU